UGUAAACUUGUACUCUAAUUGAUGUUGUCCUUAAAUGUCUGUUUAUUAAUCUACUUUUAGUUUUUGGGUAAAAUUAGAGAUUUUGUUAAUUAUUGUUUGAGGACAAAAAAUUUAGUGAGCGAGCCAGAUUAGUACCUGGUUAGAUAAAAGUUAAAAGAGCAGGAGUAAGGUUGUAUUUAAACUGUAAGAAUAUUGGCAGGUUUUUAAAUUAUCUUUGGAGGUUGAAUAGUAAUUGAGAGCCCUCAUUAUCUACUUUUAUUUUAGGCGCAUGUAUGAUCGUUUAUUUUAUUCUUGAGGAUUGUAAUUUUAGUUUAUAGCUGUAAAAAUAGAUAUAUACUUGGUCUAUAUUAAAGUUUAUUUUGACCUACAAUAUUAUAUGUUGUGGAUAAUAUUUGUAGUAAGUAUUUGAAAUUGUAAAAGACAGUAAAAUCUUUUUAAUGUGGAUUUGAAGUUUAUUUAAAAACGGUACAAAUCAUCCAUCAAUUGCCCAUAGG
RNAcentral lists this non-coding RNA (494 nucleotides) under Contracaecum osculatum. Lineage: Eukaryota; Metazoa; Nematoda; Chromadorea; Rhabditida; Anisakidae. The record is from RNAcentral.